GGCCGAGUGGCGGAAUCGGUAGACGCACGGGACUUAAAAUCCCGUGAGGGGCUUCCCUCGUGCGGGUUCGAGUCCCGCCUCGGCUA
Molecule: transfer RNA, 86 nt
Filed under: Planctomycetota bacterium
Lineage: Bacteria; Pseudomonadati; Planctomycetota
Description: Planctomycetes bacterium (sediment metagenome) tRNA-Leu
Rfam family: tRNA
About the family: Transfer RNA (tRNA) molecules are approximately 80 nucleotides in length.
Source: RNAcentral